UUCCAGCUGCCAGUUCAAACAAGUGCUGCAGACCUGAGCUGAAGAGACGCAGUGCCAGGGAGCAGAGUCAUCAUAGACAGCCCCGCUGCGGCACAGAAAACAUUCCUACAAGAAACUUUGGCUUUUGGACGCAGUUGUUUUGGAAAAAUGCAAAAAAAUCUUUUUGUAGCGGCUUUUUGCCUCUUCGUCGCAGUAAAUCUGUGUGGAGCAGCUACCACCUCAGCACCUACUGAGUCAAGUGUCACAGAGCAAAAUACUGGAUCUACAACUGAUGUACCAACCACAGCCCAAACCAGUGGACCAGGUACCGGCCAAACUGUGGAAUCAACAACCAUCACCACCGAGGCAGCUCCCUCAAACAGUACUGAAGGACCCGAAGCGUCACCAGCAGGGCUUUCAGGAGGGGAGAUAGCCGGCAUCACCAUCGGUACAAUCGCCGGGGUGGGUUUACUGGGCGGCGGGAUCUAUGGCAUCCUGAAGUACACCAACACAAUCUGAGAAGCGCUCUCACCCAACAUGGACUUAAUUGAUCAAACAUAUUAAGCUGCAACCUUUCCCACGGUUUAAUCCUGACUGGGCUCCAUGGACAGUGAGGAGGCGGAUUUGUCUAAAAGGCCCAAUUCUGAAUAAAAAACGCUCAUCAUCAGCGAUGGCAUCGUGGGCCGGGAGGAAGACACAAUAAUCUGUUAUAGUUUGCUGAUUGUAUUAAUUUAAAUCAUAAGGUAAUUUUAAUAACUGUUUUAUUGUAAAAAAAAACAAUUAGACUGUAUAUUGAAUGGUUGUUUUUUUCACAGCUUUUAAUGAGUAGGAUAAAUGUGUUUCUACAUUUUCUUUUGUCGUUUAUGAUAGUAUGUAAAAAACUGAUAUUAUAGUGAUGAAUAACUUAUGAUAUUUGUCUGAGGGACAGACAUUAAUUCACCUCAGAGCAGGAAGUGGUCAGGGGAAUGACAGCCAGUUUUGGCAGACCCCGCCCACUCCCGCUCCUUCAAAUUCAAUAUAAAGGGUUUAGUUUCUUAAGCCAUUAAUAAAAAUGUGACAAAAAACAUUUACAACCAUCUGGGCAGGGCAUCACAGUGCUUAUAUUUUAUAUUUAGAACAUAAAGUUGUUUCUUUUUAUGUUGUAUUAAAUAAAGAAAAUCAGACAAUUAAACAUUAA
Molecule: long non-coding RNA, 1156 nt
Organism: Fundulus heteroclitus (mummichog)
Lineage: Eukaryota; Metazoa; Chordata; Actinopteri; Cyprinodontiformes; Fundulidae
Exons: 5
Source: RefSeq, a predicted model, not a curated record